ACACACAUACGUUGACACACACACGAUCUACUCACGCACACACUCACGGUCUCUCUCACUCACGCUGCUCCAGGCUGCACAUACUCCCAACACAAAAAAGUACCCUCGCUUCCUUAUAUCACGCACACACACAGAUAUUGUGUGUUCGAUGUUGAUGUGUACGGUUAUAUCGGUAGGGUUUUUUCCUCAUUAUAAUUAUCCGGAGAAAGACAAGGCAGGGCAGAACCGGCAAGGAAAAUCGUACGAAUUCCCUACCAGCGCAUUCAAUGUAGGAUUGAUAUCACAGGGAUUGUAGAGAAAUGGGUGGAAUCCAUAUAUUUUCCCUUCAAUCUGUCUCCUGAUUUAACCAAAACAAAAAGAGCACUUGCUCUUUGUCACUGAGAGGAAAUAUCCAGUACUAGGAAUUCUGAGUAAGACUUCAUUUCAUAAAAGCCUUCUGAGCUUCUGCCGUACGUGCACAUGCGCACAACUUCCGCUAUUCAGUAUCCUACCACGUGACAGCACUAAAUUGGCCAAUCAGCUACGAGUACGUCGUUGGUACUUUAGGUGGACUUGAAGUUCCAAGAAGGACGUUUUGAGACCAAGUCGGCAAGAUGUCGCAGGUAACAGCGCUAAAGAAGACCGUGGAGCAGCUUCGAUCCGAAGCCAAGAUUGAGCGAAUAACCGUAUCUCAGGCGUGCAACCAGCUCCAGGAAUACUGCUUACAACACGAGGCGGAUGACUGUCUACUAAAAGGAAUAGCUGCACAUGCCAACCCUUUCAAGGAAAAGCAAAAGUGCACUAUUUUGUAGGGAUAGGGGAAUAUAUCCCACGUUAUAGAGAAGAUAUUCGUCAAGUUUGGACUCUCGCACAAGUAAAACGAUCCCUCGAUUGGGUUAAGUGUACCUGUAAUUCACCAUUUCUACCACUAAAAUAGGGGUUGUUACGUUUUAUUUUACAAAGAGUCAAGAAAUCACGUAAUUUGAUUAAGUUCGUUAAUACUCAAGCAAACUGUUUGACUCUGUUUCAGAUAGAUGCUCAUUCUUUUUCAUGAUGCUAGAAUAGUUACUCCUGUAUAAUACAGUGUAUUCCCUUUUGUAUCACAACCUGGUGGAAUAAAACUCUUGCAAAUUUGCAAUUUUGUCUCCUAUGUCAUGUCAAGUAAAAGCAUAAUGACACAAUGGAAACAGAAAAACAAUAUUAUAGUGAUAAACUACAGCAUAAAAUAGUAACAAAACGUAACACGGGGAUUUCGCUUUAGUUAAUUUUUUAAAAAAUCACAAUUUCCCGUCUUCUUCCCUCUCUUUUUUGUGUUGUAUGUCCAUGUCAUCUGUGUUAAUUGUUUAUCAUUCCACCCUCUUUCUAUAUUGUUCCUCUCUCUCUCUCCCUCUCUGUCGGUCUCUCUGCAUAUUUAUUUCCUUCCCUCUCCAUCUAAUUAUGUCUCUCAUUUUCUAUCUCUGUCUCUCUCUCUUUCUCUCUCCCUCACCCCAUUACAUCGUCGAUUUUAUAUCAUGUCAUUGUUAGGCUGUGUAUGGAUGAUUGCAUAUUCAAGACUAUGACGCAAUUCGUCAUAUUUGAAGGCAAUGAUUCGAACAAGCAAGAGAAGCGAAAAUAAUUGAUUAUUAUACUUGUAGUGAUACUUAUUGAGUAAUCGUUGGAAUACAGUAGUGUGAGUGUGCGCGCGCGCGUGUGUGUUUGUGCGGAUGUGUGUGUAUGUGUUUUGUAUGUAGAUAUGAUACAUUUCUAAGUGGUUCCCGUUUGCUUUGAAGUGUAUAGUGUAUAUCCUCACAUCAUCAUAAUAUGUUUGCCCGAUAUAUCAACUUGCAACUGCAUCGAUAUAUUUAUAUCGCAUCCCCGAGCCACAUCAUUACAAAUAUACUGUACUAUCAAUCAUGAUAAUAUACAUUCAACUCAUUGCUGUAUCCACAUAUACAAAGUUAACGGUUUUCCAAGAACACGAAUAAAGCGGGAAUAGAUACCUUAAUUGUCAUAAUAACGGAAUAAUUGAUGUUUUAGACGUUGUAAAACCAUUAAUGAUAUACUUACCAACUCUUCAAAUAGCGAGGAAAAAUAAGAUCAAGGCAACUGAAUGUAAUUUAUAGUCAUUUGUUCAUUUGCCAAUAUUGUUAAAAAGACAUGUACUUUGUUUGAUAUUUUGAUAUCACAUGUACAGGUUUAUCAUUGGUUUCAUUGAUAUAAAAAUAUCGUUUAUUUCUUUUACUUAUCGUCAUCAUGGUUGUUAUAAUUUUUCUGUUAUAUGACCUAUUCUAUUAUCACAGUAACAAUAAUGAUAAAGAUGAUGAAAAAAUAAUGAUGAUAAUGAUAGUAAUGAUAAUAAUCAUCAUUAUUAUCAUUGUUUGAUCAUUAUUAUUAUUAUUGUUAUUAUUAUCAUUAUUCUUAUUAUUAUACCUGUUGUUUUCAGAAGUGUUGUGCAAUAGUAGAAUGGUAAUGAAAAAAAUUGCGUUAUAAAAAAUAAAUAUUUGUUAGUGACGUUAUCUUGCAUGACUUUUUAUUCGUCAUGAUGGUGAGUGCACAUUCAAUCCAAAUAUUCACAUUUGACGUACCGGUGCUUCAUCAAUCCGGGGGGUACCAGUGCGGGACAAAAUUAUGAGAAAAAAAAGAUGUUACAAAUUCAAACCCCCAAAAAAAAUUAUUCGCACAAUUUUUUAAAUAAAGAAACCCUCCCUGCAUGAUUCUUGUGAGUUUACUAUAUUGAGUAUUUAUAAGAACUUGUUUUAUCAUGUUCAUGUGGUGUUGUAGAUGUCAAGGAUGAAAACGUUUAAGAAAUUUGAAGAUUCUUUUUUUUUUGCAAGUAGGAUAGGCUUUGUUUGAAAUAUAUUCGCCAUUUUCAUUUCUAUUUAGAAUGGUAUUGAUAAACAGCAAUUGGUAGUAAGGUAUACCAUGUAUAUUGUGCGUAAAAAGUAACUGCGUUUCAUCGAUUGUUAAAUCUGUUUUAAGAUUAUGGCUUACAAAUAUUAAUGAAGAGCCCUUGAUAAAAAUUACAAAGUUUCCUUUUCCAAAGGAAAAUAGAAAAGCGCAUAGAUAAUUAAUAAAUGAUUGAAUAUGACAUACAUUGUUCAAGAUGUUUUGACCAACCUGUUGGUUAGAUUAACAUAAUAAUGAACCUAACAACUGCUGGUUAAGAAAAAUCUCCAUUUGUUUUGCAUGUAGUUUUCUCUUAACCAACAGUUAGUAGAGGUAACUAAUGUUUAUUUUCUGAGAGUGUUAGGCAGUACUGUAUUGGAGAGCUAAAACUCACAAUAUGAAAGGCAAAGAUUAUAACAGCUUAUACACAGUAAAUUUGUUUUUAGAUAUUCACAGGUUGAAAAUAUAAAGAAAUUAGUUCAUAUAAGUGGAUAGCCACUUAUAUGAAUUAAGUGAUUCGUUUACUUUAGAAUCAAGUGAUUCGUGUACUGCUAACAUGUUGUACUAUACUGAUAAAGAGUCAAAUUUUAAAGGUCAUUUAAAAUGCUUGUAAUGAAUUAGUGCGAAGCUUUCCAAUAAUCAGAUUUUUUCAACUUUAUGGAUCCGUAUUUUAUGGUCUUUAAACAAAUUAGGGAUAUACGUAGAUAAUGAUAUGAUCUAAUAAGUCAAGUAAACUGGUGUUCGGUUAAGAAACAUUUCUAGUAAAGUCCAAAUGUGUCCAUAGGCUUAAUUAGAUUUUGCUCCUUGUGUUUUAUAUUGUACCUGCAAAGUGAUUUGAUUAUCAGUUAUUCAGUAAAUGGAUGUUGUAUACGUUUAGUCAUAAUUUCAAAGCCUUACGACUUGUAUGAAAUUAAAAAAGAAUCGUUAAAAUGGUAA
This is a long non-coding RNA of Lytechinus pictus (painted urchin), 3780 nucleotides long. RefSeq lists it as uncharacterized. Lineage: Eukaryota; Metazoa; Echinodermata; Echinoidea; Temnopleuroida; Toxopneustidae. The record is from RefSeq and is a predicted model, not a curated record. The transcript is spliced from 2 exons.